Molecule: long non-coding RNA, 1318 nt
Filed under: Felis catus (domestic cat)
Lineage: Eukaryota; Metazoa; Chordata; Mammalia; Carnivora; Felidae
Description: lncRNA (ENSFCAG00000040663.2)
Source: RNAcentral
CACGAAGGGCAAUGCGGUUGGCUGCAAAGCCAGGGGUAAGCGAUUCUCUCACAAACACAUCCUGAAAACAGACUGUUGCGCCCUCUCUGACAUGUUUUAUAAGGCCUCCUGCACAGAAAGCACACAUAACCACAGAAUUCCUUACCAGGAGCAUUCCGUGGGGUUAAGGGCAUGCCUCGUAGGUAUCGCCUCCUGAUCGAAUCUUCUGCUUGUCUUAGAACACUCCGGUGGCAGCAGCGCCUCACCAUGGCCCAGUGUGUGAGUCUUCUGGUCUUUCUCCAUGGAGUGCUUGCAUUUCAGACAAAAGGGGUGCUUGGUUUGUCGGAGGAGAGCAGUGACAGCAGUCGUGGAUACAAGAAAAGCUACUAUAUAUUUCAGAUGCUGCCAAUUCAAAACUUGAAGGGGAGACCAGAGAAUGCCUUUGACAGGAAGGCAGCUGACCCGCCAGCUCUGUGGCCUUCCAGUGUUUUGGGAGCAAGAGAUGUCAUUAGACCCGCCGUCAGCCCCGUGGCAAGUGUCCGGCUUCGGCCAGUGCCCGUCACCCCUAGACAAAAUCCGUCCACGGUAGCUCCUCGCUGGUUGGGGAGCAGAGCUCUGAGAGGCCCUGUCCCCACACCUCUCACCCAGGCCAGGAUACCACAGACAAAGGGACUGGCCUCUGUACCUAGAAACCGGGGGACCCACUUCGCUGUGUCAGCCAGGUUUCCUCCGACACCCCGAGUUCUGACGACUGCGGGUCUCCCCACAAACGGAGCCCUUCACGGCACCAGUGUCCCCACCUCUCCCACAACUAAGGAGCCCCGAGGAGAUAUGUAAGCCGAUGUGGCAGUGCCCCCUUCUCUUGGCAGGGGACCCACGUCUGUCUGUGUUGCUGUCUGGGUGCGGAGAGCAACGUUUGGGAGAAGUGUUCACACUCUGGGGGCCCAGGCAAUCACCCCUGUGAUGUACCCUGGGAACCCGGCUCUAUUACGGGAUUCACCUCAAUCACCAACUCCUCUAGACGUGAAAUUCUCAAGAAGGAAGCUUCACGGCCCCCGAGAAAGUGAUUUUGUCACGUGCUCUGUGACUCUGAGGCAAUUCCUCACUCUUACCGAAAAAUCAAAUGGUGGGGUGGCUCAGUCGGUUGGGCGUCCGACUUUGGCUCAGGUCAUGAUCUCACGGUCUGUGAGUUCCAGCCCCGUCGGGCUCUGUGCUGAUGGCUCAGAGCCUGGAGCCUGUUUCAGAUUCUGUGUCUCCCUCUCUCUCUGACCCUCUCCCGUUCAUGCUCUGUCUCUGUCUCAAAAAUAAAUAAACGUUAAAAAAAAAAAAAAGAAAAAUC